Molecule: ribosomal RNA, 253 nt
Filed under: uncultured bacterium
Lineage: Bacteria
Description: partial 16S ribosomal RNA
Rfam family: Bacterial small subunit ribosomal RNA
Source: RNAcentral
UACGAGUGGUGCAAGCGUUGUUCGGAUUCACUGGGCAUAAAGAGCACGUAGGCGGUGACUCAAGUCGGCUGUGAAAGCCCCCGGCUCAACCGGGGAACUGCAGCCGAAACUGUGUCGCUGGAGUACGGGAGGGGAGAACGGAAUUCCUGGUGGAGCGGUGAAAUGCGUAGAUAUCAGGAGUAACGCCGGAGGCGAAAGCGGUUCUCUGGCCCGCUACUGACGCUGAGGUGCGAAAGCUAGGGGAGCAAACAGU